RNAcentral lists this long non-coding RNA (208 nucleotides) under Olea europaea (common olive). RNAcentral describes it as "long non-coding RNA (OEUR_LNC008978)". The record is from RNAcentral. Lineage: Eukaryota; Viridiplantae; Streptophyta; Magnoliopsida; Lamiales; Oleaceae.
AUAAGUUUGGAGGAUUUGUGUAUCUCUCGAGUGAUGUAAGGAUAAAUUUGACCAUUAUGGGUCGGGAACAAACCAUUCAUAAGCUUGAUAUGUUGGCAUGAGUUCACACACACACGUUGAGUAUUGCAUUUGAUGAGUAAAGGUUAAUUUUAUUCUUGCAAUAUUGAUAUUGUUCUAUUGUAUUGCUAAGUUCCAAUCCUGAGACACG